ACCUGGCGGCGAGUGGCGAACGGGUGAGUAAUAUAUCGGAACGUACCCUGGAGUGGGGGAUAACGUAGCGAAAGUUACGCUAAUACCGCAUACGAUCCAAGGAUGAAAGCAGGGGACCGCAAGGCCUUGUGCUCCAGGAGCGGCCGAUAUCUGAUUAGCUAGUUGGUGGGGUAAAAGCCUACCAAGGCAUCGAUCAGUAGCUGGUCUGAGAGGACGACCAGCCACACUGGAACUGAGACACGGUCCAGACUCCUACGGGAGGCAGCAGUGGGGAAUUUUGGACAAUGGGCGCAAGCCUGAUCCAGCAAUGCCGCGUGAGUGAAGAAGGCCUUCGGGUUGUAAAGCUCUUUUGUCAGGGAAGAAACGGGUGGGGCUAAUAUCCUCACCUAAUGACGGUACCUGAAGAAUAAGCACCGGCUAACUACGUGCCAGCAGCCGCGGUAAUACGUAGGGUGCAAGCGUUAAUCGGAAUUACUGGGCGUAAAGCGUGCGCAGGCGGUUUUGUAAGUCUGUCGUGAAAUCCCCGGGCUCAACCUGGGAAUGGCGAUGGAGACUGCAAGGCUAGAGUUUGGCAGAGGGGGGUAGAAUUCC
RNAcentral lists this ribosomal RNA (591 nucleotides) under uncultured bacterium. RNAcentral describes it as "bacterial SSU rRNA". It matches the Rfam family "Bacterial small subunit ribosomal RNA", at positions 83 to 670 of the family's 1533-position model. The record is from RNAcentral.